GACGAACGCUGGCGGCGUGCUUAACACAUGCAAGUCGAACGGAAAGGCCCUGCUUUUGUGGGGUGCUCGAGUGGCGAACGGGUGAGUAACACGUGAGUAACCUGCCCUUGACUUUGGGAUAACUUCAGGAAACUGGGGCUCAUACCGGAUAGGAGCUACUGCUGCAUGGUGGGGGUUGGAAAGUUUCGGCGGUUGGGGAUGGAAUCGAGGCUUAUCAGCUUGUUGGUGGGGUAGUGGCUUACCAAGGCUUUGACGGGUAGCCGGCCUGAGAGGGUGACCGGCCGCAUUGGGACUGAGAUACGGCCCAGACUCCGACGGGAGGCAGCAGUGGGGAAUAUUGCACAAUGGGCGGAAGCCUGAUGCAGCAACGCCGCGUGCGGGAUGACGGCCUUCGGGAUGUAAACCGCUUUCGCCAGUGACGAAGCGUGAGUGACGGUAAUGGGUAAAGAAGCACCGGCUAACUACGUG
This 468-nucleotide ribosomal RNA is filed under the name uncultured bacterium. RNAcentral describes it as "partial 16S ribosomal RNA". It matches the Rfam family "Bacterial small subunit ribosomal RNA", at positions 28 to 507 of the family's 1533-position model. The record is from RNAcentral.